GAUGAACGCUGGCGGCGUGCCUAAUACAUGCAAGUCGAGCGAACAGAUAAGGAGCUUGCUCCUUUGACGUUAGCGGCGGACGGGUGAGUAACACGUGGGUAACCUACCUAUAAGACUGGGAUAACUUCGGGAAACCGGAGCUAAUACCGGAUAAUAUUUCGAACCGCAUGGUUCGAUAGUGAAAGAUGGUUUUGCUAUCACUUAUAGAUGGACCCGCGCCGUAUUAGCUAGUUGGUAAGGUAACGGCUUACCAAGGCGACGAUACAUAGCCGACCUGAGAGGGUGAUCGGCCACACUGGAACUGAGACACGGUCCAGACUCCUACGGGAGGCAGCAGUAGGGAAUCUUCCGCAAUGGGCGAAAGCCUGACGGAGCAACGCCGCGUGAGUGAUGAAGGUCUUCGGAUCGUAAAACUCUGUUAUUAGGGAAGAACAUACGUGUAAGUAACUGUGCACGUCUUGACGGUACCUAAUCAGAAAGCCACGGCUAACUACGUG
RNAcentral lists this ribosomal RNA (497 nucleotides) under uncultured bacterium. Its description in RNAcentral is "partial 16S ribosomal RNA". It matches the Rfam family "Bacterial small subunit ribosomal RNA", at positions 28 to 507 of the family's 1533-position model. The record is from RNAcentral.